Mercurialis annua (annual mercury) is the source of this 1185-nucleotide RNA transcript. It is a transcript of the gene named myb family transcription factor PHL8-like, with no coding region annotated. The transcript has 8 exons. The record is from RefSeq and is a predicted model, not a curated record. NCBI's taxonomy places the organism in Eukaryota, Viridiplantae, Streptophyta, Magnoliopsida, Malpighiales, Euphorbiaceae.
AGAGAAUGGUUUAUAAUUACUCCCUGAUUUCUCUAUUUUAAAGUUAAUUGUGUUCUAUUUCAAAAAAAAGUUAACGGUUUUCUAGGGGCAUUUGGUAAUCUUUAGAUGGUAAAAAUAAAAACAUUGGGCACGUAAAUACGACUUUGAAAACUCUUGAUUUUUUUUCUUUCUUCUCUAAGUUUUUUUUUUUGCCAAAUCUCUCUUCUCUAAGUAAUUACGUUUCAUUGUGUUAUAACUGUUGAUUUAGCAUCCUCGUCAACAUCAUCACCUUCCUCCGUCUUCCAUAUUAUCUGAUACUGCUCGCGGUUCAUCUUGUUUGACAGUUGAACCAGGUUUAUUAAUCGAGAGAGCAUAGACUUCUCAUAUGCUCAAAGUGUGCAAGCCGUUCAGAGGCAACGCCAAAGAUUGUGUUGAGGAUGAUGGAUUACAAAGAGAUACAAAGUACUCAAGGCGAAUCUAAAGCACGCAUUGCUGAGGGAAUCCGAAAUCCAAUCGACGAAAGCUUUCAGAUUGCUCAGGCUCUUGAAAUGAAAAAGGAAGUGCAGAGAAAACUUCAUGAACAGAUUGAGGCAGGAUUAGUUUAAGUUCAAGUGGUUGGCUUGCUUUGCAGAAUUCCUGAGAAAUAAAGCAGGCAUGAACUGCUACGGAGAGUUGCUGUCGGCGGUAGCGCCUUUGCUAGUAAAAAUAGAACCAAUUCACAUUCUAGAAGAAAAUCUAAAUGAGAUAGCCAACUAAGCAGAUGAUCUACUGGAGGUGAACUUUUUAACCAAGCUGGUGGCUCUAAAACCUGGGAAGACUGGUUAAGAAAUGAUAACAAAAUGUAAUGCUAGGAAAAGAUGACGGAGCUGAAGAUACCGCUAGUAAAGAGGAAAACACUAGGGGUGAAAGUAAUUCAAACGGACUGCUAGAAAUGUGCUCAAUUUUGAGUGACAGCUCUUGCAGAUUUCAUGAAGAUAUUUGUGGAAAAUGAUUCUGUAGCAGAAAAGACAUUCAAUGUUUUGUGAUUUUGAAUAUCGUUAUUUUUUAUGGAAUAUUUUCCGUUUUUUAAUUUUGGUGAAUAUUUUCUUUGUGAUGUAAUGGAUGGAAUAGAUGGAAUUUGUUGCGAUAUAAUGUAUGGAAUAUUUUGUGAUGUAAUGGAUGGAAUAUUUUCGUGAUGUAAUGGAUAAAAUAUUUUCCGUUUUGUAA